GUAGGUGGCAAGCGUUGUCCGGAAUUAUUGGGCGUAUAGCGCGCGCAGGCGGUUCUUUAAGUCUGAUGUGAAAGCCCACGGCUCAACCGUGGAGGGUCAUUGGAAACUGGAGAACUUGAGUACAGAAGAGGAAAGCGGAAUUCCACGUGUAGCGGUGAAAUGCGUAGAGAUGUGGAGGAACACCAGUGGCGAAGGCGGCUUUCUGGUCUGUAACUGACGCUGAGGCGCGAAAGCGUGGGGGAGCAAACAGGAUUAGGUACCCUGGUAGUCCACGCCGUGAACGAUGAGUGCUAAGUGUUAGGGGGUUUCCGCCCCUUAGUGCUGCAGCUAACGCAUUAAGCACUCCGCCUGGGAGUACGGCCGCAAGGCUG
Molecule: ribosomal RNA, 371 nt
Filed under: uncultured organism
Description: partial 16S ribosomal RNA
Rfam family: Bacterial small subunit ribosomal RNA
Source: RNAcentral